GUAUUUACAAGUAUAUUCUUUAUAUUGAUAUUUAGAGCAAUCAAUAAUCCCAACAACUAACGGGGAACCUGCUCGUGGCCGUGAAGAUACAGCUGUUUACCCGAAACAUCACUAGAACCUCAGGACAAAGUCAUGGAAGAUUCUCAACAAUGUAAAUAAGUAGACAGCAAGAAAGUUGAUACAUAGGGCAUUGCAAUCAAGCAGACACUACUACGGGAUGUGGAUUAAAGUUACUCACAAUAUAAUCAUCCCUACAACAGUUACUGCCAGAAAAAGAGCACCUGACAAUAAUGCUGGUGCAGCGCAAACCGAAUAAUAACUAUGUAAUAAAUAAAUGCUGAUUCCUUCCGA
Molecule: long non-coding RNA, 351 nt
Organism: Ostrea edulis (European flat oyster)
Lineage: Eukaryota; Metazoa; Mollusca; Bivalvia; Ostreida; Ostreidae
Exons: 3
Source: RefSeq, a predicted model, not a curated record